AUUGAACGCUGGCGGCAGGCUUAACACAUGCAAGUCGAGCGGGGGAAGGUAGCUUGCUACUGGACCUAGCGGCGGACGGGUGAGUAAUGCUUAGGAAUCUGCCUAUUAGUGGGGGACAACAUCUCGAAAGGGAUGCUAAUACCGCAUACGUCCUACGGGAGAAAGCAGGGGAUCUUCGGACCUUGCGCUAAUAGAUGAGCCGAAGUCGGAUUAGCUGGUUGGUGGGGUAAAGGCCUACCAAGGCGACGAUCUGUAGCGGGUCUGAGAGGAUGAUCCGCCACACUGGGACUGAGACACGGCCCAGACUCCUACGGGAGGCAGCAGUGGGGAAUAUUGGACAAUGGGGGGAACCCUGAUCCAGCCAUGCCGCGUGUGUGAAGAAGGCCUUAUGGUUGUAAAGCACUUUAAGCGAGGAGGAGGCUACUCUAGUUAAUACCUAGGGAUAGUGGACGUUACUCGCAGAAUAAGCACCGGCUAACUCUGUGCCAGCCGCCGCCGUAA
RNAcentral lists this ribosomal RNA (501 nucleotides) under uncultured bacterium. RNAcentral's name for it is "partial 16S ribosomal RNA". It matches the Rfam family "Bacterial small subunit ribosomal RNA", at positions 30 to 523 of the family's 1533-position model. The record is from RNAcentral.